Molecule: long non-coding RNA, 1387 nt
Organism: Leucoraja erinaceus (little skate)
Lineage: Eukaryota; Metazoa; Chordata; Chondrichthyes; Rajiformes; Rajidae
Exons: 3
Source: RefSeq, a predicted model, not a curated record
ACGCCUACCUGACGGCGGGAGGCCGCGGUGCAUCGUCUCUGGUCCUCCGAAUUUAGCGCCUACCUGGCGGCAGGAGGCGGCGGUGCAGCGUCCCUGGUCCUCCAACGUUAUCGCCUACCUGGCGGCAGGAGGCCGCGGUGCAGCGUCUCUGGUCCUCCGACUUUAGCGCCUCCCUGGCAGCAGGAGGCAGCGGUGCAGCGUCCCUGGUCCUCCAACGUUAUCGCCUACCUGGCGGCAGGAGGCAGCGGUGCAGCGUCUCUGGUCCUCCAACGUUAGCACCUACCUGGCAGCAGGAGGCCGCGGUGCAGCGUCUCUGGUCCUCCGCCUUAACGCCUACCUGGCAGCAGGAGGCCGCGGUGCAGCGUCUCUGGUCCUCUAACGUUAGCGCCUACCUGGUGGCAGGAGGCCGCGGUGCAGCGUCUCUGGUCCUCCAACGUUAGCACCUACCUGGCAGCAGGAGGCCGCGGUGCAGCGUCUCUGGUCCUCCGCCUUAACGCCUACCUGGCGGCGGGAGGCCGCGGUGCAGCGUCUCCGGUCAGCCAGCCUCGGCGCGGCCGGGGGGUUGAAUUUAGUUUUCAAGAAGGAACUGCAGAUGCUGGAAGAUCGAAGAUGCUGCCUAACCGGCUGAGUUACUCCAGCACUCUGUGACCUUUUUCGCAAGUUGCAUGCCGCCCCCUACGCGACUCAGUGCCAAUGACCGGUGGGGCAGUGCCGGCAGUCCCCCUCGGAUUGGGGGUGAUGUCAGGAGCCGGUCCUGAGAGCCAAGCUUGUGGCAGAAGUCACGGCACAAGGCGGGGUAUGUAACGGCACAGGGCAGCUGGUUGGUGGACGUGCAGGUGGCAGCUUCACGCCGUGCCCGGACACUCGGCGCCUCAGGGUUUAGGAGCCGUUGCUGUGGACGGAGAGACGGGAACAUGAGCGGCUAUUGUGGGCAGCCAGGUUGCCGGUGACCCCACCCAUCCCCCCCCUCCACAAUCAGCUCGGGGCGUGAGCUGUGCUUCGAGGGGCUGCGCUUCGGUAGAGGACCACUUGCCGUGGCACAACAAGGAGAAGAGUUAUGAGUGCGACGUGUGCGGCAAGGCCUGGCAGUACCCGAGCCGGCUGGGACCCGCCGGCUGGUGCACACAGUCGAGAAGCCCUAUGGCUGCUUCACCUGCGGCAAGUACAUUGCCCAAUCGUCACGGUUAUGGCAGUGCCAGCAGGUGCACAGCAGUGCAAAUCUCAAAGCGCAUUUCAGGUUGUGGUCUGUGAUCAAAUUUUACAGGCAACUUCCCUCUAUUAUUUUGUUGACACAACAGACAUGUUCUUGCAACUUUAUAAAUUACUAGACCACGUGCAGACCCGUUGGGUGUGUCCCACCAACGUGCGGUUGUGUGGGGGGGGGGGG